Molecule: transfer RNA, 84 nt
Filed under: Synechococcus phage SynMITS9220M01
Lineage: Duplodnaviria; Heunggongvirae; Uroviricota; Caudoviricetes; Pantevenvirales; Kyanoviridae
Description: tRNA-Ser
Rfam family: tRNA
About the family: Transfer RNA (tRNA) molecules are approximately 80 nucleotides in length. Their secondary structure includes four short double-helical elements and three loops (D, anti-codon, and T loops). Further hydrogen bonds mediate the characteristic L-shaped molecular structure. tRNAs have two regions of fundamental functional importance: the anti-codon, which is responsible for specific mRNA codon recognition, and the 3' end, to which the tRNAs corresponding amino acid is attached (by aminoacyl-tRNA synthetases). tRNAs cope with the degeneracy of the genetic code in two manners: having more than one tRNA (with a specific anti-codon) for a particular amino acid; and 'wobble' base-pairing, i.e. permitting non-standard base-pairing at the 3rd anti-codon position.
Source: RNAcentral
GGAAAGGUGACCGAGUGGUUUAAGGUAGCAGUCUUGAAAACUGCCGUGUUAGUAGCACCGUGGGUUCGAAUCCCACCCUUUCCG